Hydra vulgaris (swiftwater hydra) is the source of this 2693-nucleotide long non-coding RNA. RefSeq lists it as uncharacterized. NCBI's taxonomy places the organism in Eukaryota, Metazoa, Cnidaria, Hydrozoa, Anthoathecata, Hydridae. The record is from RefSeq and is a predicted model, not a curated record.
UAAAGGUAAACAUAGAGGGGAUAUGAUAUUUUAAGUAAGAAUUUAAGUUUCUUUUUGUGGUACAUACAGAACUUACUAGUGAUGGAUGUGAUAUUCUAGUAGUGCAAUGACUUGAAAGCGCAAUCUCGUUUUCGUUUUUUCUAUAGGGGAUGUGAUAUUUUAGGCGGAUGUAAUAUUUUAUUACAAAUCUCGUUUUGAGUUUUUCAUAGGGGGAUGGAAUAAUUCAGGCGGUGGGAAUAAUCUACUACAGUUCCACUCAUCAUGUGGACAUUGAAGUUGAAUCAACUUCUCCUUCAAACACAUCGAAAAACAAGAAAAAUGAAAUUCAAUCUUCCAGUCUAUAUAAUAAACCUGAAUCACUUAACAAUGAAACAGACAAUUCAUCUGUUUCAUCUGACGAUGAAUCAACAAAUCAAGAAAAUGGCGAUGACAAUGAAUGGGACAUUGUUAAAGAUGAUGAGCAGAAUUGUGAUUUUGUUGAAAAAGUCACUAAAAUAAGUGAUCGAAGCAUUUGUUCAAUAUUUGAUAAUCAGAUCAGAGAGUCCUUUAGAAAUCAGCACAAAAAAAGCAGCAUUGAAAAUCGACCUUUAGAGCAUCCAAAGCUAUUAAGACAGGAGGAUUUUCCUGUUGAGAUAAUAAACUUUCAAUAUCGUAUGCUGUAUUUAAUCACCGAUACAAGAAAUGAAAUAAAAAAAUAUGUUGAUGCAGAAGUACAUAUCUACUAUAAAUGCAGAAGAUGCUGAUUUAAUAAAUAAAGCAGAAACGGUAAUUGAAGGACGUUUACAAAAUACUGACUUCGCAAGGAAAGUUCGUAAAUCUCUAGAAACAAUGUCACUUUCUUGUAAGUCUGCAAAAGAACAUGUUCGAACUAUUAUUAAUUCUGUAAUGUCAUUGCCAUUACAAGAAAAAGUAAACGUUCUAUAUGGCAAUAAUGUUCCAAAAAAGAAUUAUGUCGACCAUAUAUCUAUGUCACGUGAGUUGCCCUUACUCUUAUCAUGUAUUGUGACUGCCGUUGUUAAAAAAUUUCCAACAAUUUUUUCAGAAAUUGAUGGACAUUUUUUAACAACGGCAUGGACAUUUCAGAGUACUUAAAAAUUUCAAAGAAAAGAUAUAGAGUGCAUUUAGAUUGAUAAAACUUUAUUCUCGUAUUUAGAAAGCUGUCUUAUUUUGUUAUUAUUGUUUAGUUUAAAUUGAAUUACAGUUUGCUUUUAGGUUUGAAUAAAUUUACUUGCUGAGCCUAACAUUCAUCUUAUUUUAAGAGUCAAUAAAAAAACCAUGAAAAUUUUAAUAAAGUAAUUUGUUGUCUUAAUAUUAAGAUUCUUAAUGUUAUUGUGUUUUAUAGGUAGAUUUUAUAUGUUUUAAAAGUGCACAAACAAUUUUAGGUAAAUAUGUGCUGGAGUUAUGUUAUAUUGAUUACAUCUGUUAUGUUAUAUUUUGUACAUAUGUUAAAAUAUGUUGCUAUUAUACCAGUGUUUAUUUUUACCAGAUUUUUUCAAUACAUGUUUUAAUGUCAGCAAAAAAGUAUAGGGGUGGUUUACACAUCAUUUUCACAGGAAAUUUUUAUAAGUAAAUUGCCAAAAAGAUUGUUAAAAGUUAAGUUUGCGUAAACAAAACUAGUAGAACGUCUUCUUGUACUAGUAGUUUCUUUCACGUGAAGAUAACUGCUAAAACACCCAAAAAGUAUUAUCUGGUUAUUAAAUUUAGCGCCUUUGCAUUUACCUUCUUGUACAGGAACAAGUCAACCCUGUUUCACGAUGAAAAUACAUUACAUAGUAUAUAUGUUUUAUAUAGCAAAUUAUAGCAAGAAUUGGCUACCAAACUAUCUGGUAUUUUUAUUCGUUAUUUUUAUGUUAAGUUAGUUUUUUAAAUGGGCCAUUUUUUACGGUCAUGUGUAGUUGUACCUCCAAAUCGUUUAUUACAGCCUCAAGCUGAACUAUUGCACCGAUUUAAAGAAAAGUCCUAAUGCUACCCCCUAGUAAGAUAUCUUUGUUGAUAUAUUAUGCAAGUCGUAAAAGUAAAGGAUUUGCCUGCAAAUAACGAAAAAAUAGACAUGGCAAUGUCAAUUUUAGCAGUUUUCCCUCGUCUUUAAUAUCGAAGUUAAAUUAACGGAAUCAGGCUACGAUUUGAAAAUGGAACCAUGGAAAGUGGAAAGUUAGACCACAUCACAGAAAACUUGUUGGUUUAGAGAAUUGUGAAGUGGAACGUAUGCUCCGAUCAGUGGCGGAACUACUGGACGCAGGACCCUGCGUUGCGGGGGGUCUACCAGCUAUAGGGGGCCCUCAUAUAAAAAAAGUUAUACUCUCAAUAAUAUUUAUACUAUAAAACUCUUUUCCGCAAAAAAAACAUUCUUUUGCGGGGAGGCCCAAAUUUUGAAGUUCCGCCACUGGCUCCGAUAGUAUCGUCCAACAUAUCUGAACCAAGACGAGUUGCUUGACAUGCCCUAACCACUAAAGCAAAUGCAGUUCUUAUUUUAAAACGAUAUCCAUGGUGUUUAAGAUAUAAAAAAACUACAAGUUAUUUAUUAAAAUGUUUUACAGUUUUGUAUGUUUUACAGUUUUACAACAAUAUGUCUAAUAAAAUUUAUUAAAUGCUGCAUAUUUUAUUUGUGUGGAUUUGUUAUUAAUAAAGGUUCCAUGUUAGAUAAUCUAUAUUUAAUUGCUUUUUGAAUGGUGUUAUAUGAAAUACACUUAUAU